RNAcentral lists this long non-coding RNA (1062 nucleotides) under Pogona vitticeps (central bearded dragon). RNAcentral describes it as "lncRNA (ENSPVIG00000017270.1)". The record is from RNAcentral. Lineage: Eukaryota; Metazoa; Chordata; Lepidosauria; Squamata; Agamidae.
AUGCCCAAGCCAAUCCAAGUCCUUCCUGCUGAGGACUCGGCCAAGAAGACGCCCUCCGUGCACGGCCGUCCCUCGGAUCCAGCAACCCCCUUAAGCGUCCGUCUUUCGAAUGCAGCACCUUCCCUAAAUGUCCCUCCCUCGGAUCCAGCACCGGCCCUAAGCAGCCGUCCCUCCGAUCCAGCAACCCCCCAAAGCAGCCGUCUUUCGAAUGCAGCACCCUCCCUAAGCGUCCCUCCUUCGAAUCCAGCACCCCCCCUAAGUGGCCGUCCCUCAAAUCCAGCAACCCCCCAAAGCAGCCGUCUUUCGAAUGCAACACCCUCCCUAAGCGUCCCUCCCUCAAAUCUAGCAACCCCCUUAAGCGUCCGUCUUUCGAAUGCAGCACCUUCCCUAAGCGGCCCUCCCUCGGAUCCAGCACCCCCCCUAAGCAGCCGUACCUCAGAUCCAGCAACCCCCCAAAGCAGCCAUCUUUCGAAUGCAGCACCCUCCAUAAGCGUCCCUCCCUCGGAUCCAGCACCCUCCCUAAAGGACCGCCUUUCGAAUGCAGGACCCUCCCUAAAUGCCCCUCCCUUGGAUCCAGAACCCCCCCGAAGCGGCCGUCUUUCAAACGCAGCGCCCUCCCUAAGCGUCCCUCCCUCGGAUCCAGCACCCCGCCGAAGUGGCCGUCUUUCGAAUGCAGCACCCUCCCUAAGCGUCCCUCCCUCGGAUGCAGCACCCCGCCGAAGCGGCCGUCUUUCGAAUGCCCUCCCUAAGCGUCCCUCCCUCGGAUGCAGCACCCUGCCGAAGUGGCCGUCUUUCGAAUGCAGCACCCUCCCUAAGCGUCCCUCCCUCGGAUGCAGCACCCUGCCGAAGUGGCCGUCUUUCGAAUGCAGCACCCUCCCUAAGCGUCCCUCCCUCGGAUCCAGCACCCCGCCGAAGCAGUCGUCUCUCGUAUCCAGCACCCCCGCUAAGCAGCUGUCCCACUUCUUCCGAAGUGAAGCCCUCCCUGCAACCUGCUUCCUCAAAGAGGAGCCCCUUGGAGCCGAAGUCUUCUCUUGCUCCAGGAUCACAGAUCCCCGGUCCUGA